ACCACAUCUGCACAAAGUGCUCAAUAUGAGGUGUACCAUGGAUUUAUAAAGAGGCAAUAAGAUCAUUUAUGAAUAUGUUGAGGAGAACUGGCUCCAAACCAGACCUCUGGAGCACACGACUAAUUACCUCUCUCCAUUCUGAAAACUGACUAUUUAUUUCUACCCUUAAUUUCCUAUCUUUUAACUAGUUGUCAGUCCCUCUCAUCCCAUGAUAGCGUAUUUUAUUUAGGAGCCUUUGGUGAGGGACUUUGUCAAAGGCUUUCUGGAAAUGGAUUUGGAACAUCAGAGGAGAGAAGAAGUGGAAGCCUGUACCGCUUUUAUAAUGGUAUUCCCCAACAUAAUAUCUGGUGCAUGAUAUCAAAACAAGAUGUAAAACUUAAUAUAUACAUACAGUAGACUCUCAGAAUUGAGGGAUUAAACUGACCGGACAAAUUACAAACUGACCGGACAACCACGCACCUCAUUUGAAACAGAAAGUACGCAAUCAGGCAGCAGCAGAGCCAAAAAGAAAUCAGUGCUGUGCUGUGUAAACUGUAAACUACUAAAAAUAAAGAGAAAGUUUUAAAAAGAUUU
Non-coding RNA from Pelodiscus sinensis (Chinese soft-shelled turtle), 573 nucleotides. Lineage: Eukaryota; Metazoa; Chordata; Testudines; Trionychidae. The record is from RefSeq and is a predicted model, not a curated record.